ACGACAUCUUCCUCAUCGCGGCACGUUCUUCUGUUGUGUGACAUGGAGCCAGAAAUGGCACGCUCUCUAGUUCUUUGGUUUCUAUGUAUGUCAAGUUUGACUCCUGGCUACAGUUGGGCAAAGCUGUGUGAAAUGUCCCCAUCAAGUACAUGUAGAAAAGGGAAACCAGGAACUCUUGACCUUUGCCUGUCAAAAUCCUUGAAGAACAAAAAUGAGUCAUUUACAUUCUGUGUUCUUAUGCUUUUUGUGGUUUACUGCCCUUGCUUUGCCCUUUGUCCAUAUUUUAGGAAGAUUAAAAGAAAUUUUCCCCUCCAAUUUUCUAUCAUCCUAUUUAUCCAUCCAUCCCAUGUUUAUAUAUCCAUCCAUCCAUCCAUCUUAUGUUUCUGUCUCUAUCAUCUAUUUAGCAUUUUAUCUAACCAUCAUCAGUCUACCUAUUCAUUAUCUGUCCAUCCAUCCACUCUAUACUUAUAUCUCCAUCCAUACAUUUGUCCUUCCUGUACCUCAGUCUGUUACCUGUCUAUUCAUCCAUCUAUCAUCUAUUUACCUACCCAUCAUCUACUAUCCAUCUAUCCAUCUCCCUACCCAUCAUCUGUUUAUCUAUCAUCUAUUGACCUAACCAUCAUCUGUCUGUCUGUCAGCCUAUCUGUCUAUCUGGAAUCUAUCUGUCCAUCAACUGUUCACCUGUACAUCAUCACUCUUGUCUAUCUCUGUCAUUCAUCACUAGCCUGUGUAGCUGGACCUCGAUGGUCUGCACCUGCCAGUGAAACCAUGCCUUCCCACAAAUUCCCCAUCUACCUGUCAAUUGUAUGAGCUGUUCAUCUUGGGUCCCCUCUCCGCCUAGGCUUUCAGCCUUCCUGAACUGUGUGGGGUCUGAGUUUAAAGUUUGGGGGUCUGGGUUCUGUUAAGCAGGUGUGUCAUGGAACUGUGCAGCCAUCCUUGCCCUCAGGCUGCUGCCCCUUUUGCAUUGCAUUUCAAAUAUGAGACAGGCUUCCCUUAAAGUCUUACACCAUGACAGAAGCCAUACUGUCCUGAAGAGCCAGAGACCAAAAAGGAGAAGAGGCACAGCAUAGAUAACUCAUAAGCUGACUAGAUGUGGCUACUUUAGAGUUUCCUGGUGAGUCUGCCUUGGGGCUCUCUCAUCCAGGCACCCCAACUGGCUUCCAGGUGGUCUUCAUGGGAAGAAGGAGCUCUCUUCCUCCCCUGGGGGGCUUUGUGUAUAGCCCCCACAUGGGCCUAGCCCAGCUACCACCCGGGCCCAGCUCUCUAAUCCUCAUUUCCUAUCUCAAGACCAGUCUUUCCCCAGGAUGACUGACACAGAGUGUCUACUAUGUUCUACAGGGACCACCCUCAGACUUCUCGAUUGCUUUUUGGUCCAUCAGACAAGAACAGCCCAUCAGAACACAGCAGUCCAGUGUCAGCAUUCACUGAGACACAGCCUAGGGCAACAGCCUUUCCGUGCGCGGAGAUACAAUGCACCCCACCAGGUUCCUGGUUCUGGACUUUCCUCAGCCUGAGAGGAAGAUGGUGCCUUCUGGUGGGUUCUCUAGCCCAGACCUGGCCUCCUGCAGAUACAGCAAAGGUGUCAUUAUGAAAAGAAGAGAUGGGGACACAGACACAUGACCACGAGAGGACUCAGGAGAAGGCUGCCUUCUGCAAGCCAAGAGGAGAGGGCUCAACAGGCCAAGCCAGGACCACACACUCCUGAGCUCCCUUUUCCUAAUGCUGAACCGAUGCUGAACCUCGACUUCCAGCCUCCACGACUGAGAAAAUGAACUUUUAUGUCAGCCACCAAAUCUGAACUGCUCUGUUACGGUAGCCCUAGCACGCUGGUACACCUAUAGUUCCUUUUCCCAUUGUGGUUUCAACUUAAAAAAGAAGCAAGCUGAGCUGGGCACGGUGAUCCACACCUGUAAUCCCAGUGGCUUGGGAGGCUGAGGCAGGAGGAUGGUCAUUUCCUCCCCCUGCUUAAAGACUCUGAAAUUAGUGCUGAAGAAGCCACUGGGAACAGAUGAUAUUGAAGAUUUCUUCAAAAUUGCCCACUCAGGCCCCAUUCCAAUGGCUUCUGCUUCUACACAGCACCUUCUGGCCCACAGCUCUCCCAGGCUGAUGAGGAGGGGCGGGUGGAGCUUCCAUUGCCUGGUAAGGAUGAUGGUGGGGAUGCAUUUUCAGCUCCCUCCCAAGGUACAGGUUGCCUCGUUCUGGAAUUUUCUUUUACAUGACAU
Marmota monax (woodchuck) is the source of this 2222-nucleotide long non-coding RNA. RefSeq lists it as uncharacterized. The transcript has 3 exons. The record is from RefSeq and is a predicted model, not a curated record. Lineage: Eukaryota; Metazoa; Chordata; Mammalia; Rodentia; Sciuridae.